This 86-nucleotide small RNA is filed under the name Drosophila pseudoobscura pseudoobscura. RNAcentral's name for it is "GA31942". Lineage: Eukaryota; Metazoa; Arthropoda; Insecta; Diptera; Drosophilidae. The record is from RNAcentral.
AAGAUAUUAAUAACAGGGACCGUAAUCAUUAUAAGUUAUAUAAUAAAAAUUACUUGGUAAUGAUCAUAUUUCAAUUUUUUACGAUU